This 253-nucleotide ribosomal RNA is filed under the name uncultured bacterium. Its description in RNAcentral is "partial 16S ribosomal RNA". It matches the Rfam family "Bacterial small subunit ribosomal RNA", at positions 524 to 776 of the family's 1533-position model. The record is from RNAcentral.
CACGUAGGGCGCAAGCGUUGUCCGGAAUUAUUGGGCGUAAAGAGCUCGUAGGCGGUCUGUUGCGUCCGCUGUGAAAACUCGGGGCUUAACCCCGAGCCUGCAGUGGAUACGGGCAGACUAGAGGUAGGUAGGGGAGAAUGGAAUUCCCGGUGUAGCGGUGAAAUGCGCAGAUAUCGGGAGGAACACCGGUGGCGAACGCGGUUCUCUGGGCCUUACCUGACGCUGAGGAGCGAAAGCGUGGGGAGCGAACAGG